UCCGCCAUACUUUAAAACAUGCAAGUCGAACGGCAGCACGGGUGCUUGCACCUGGUGGCGAGUGGCGAACGGGUGAGUAAUACAUCGGAACAUGUCCUGUAGUGGGGGAUAGCCCGGCGAAAGCCGGAUUAAUACCGCAUACGAUCUACGGAUGAAAGCGGGGGACCUUCGGGCCUCGCGCUAUAGGGUUGGCCGAUGGCUGAUUAGCUAGUUGGUGGGGUAAAGGCCUACCAAGGCGACGAUCAGUAGCUGGUCUGAGAGGACGACCAGCCACACUGGGACUGAGACACGGCCCAGACUCCUACGGGAGGCAGCAGUGGGGAAUUUUGGACAAUGGGCGAAAGCCUGAUCCAGCAAUGCCGCGUGUGUGAAGAAGGCCUUCGGGUUGUAAAGCACUUUUGUCCGGAAAGAAAUCCUUGGCUCUAAUACAGUCGGGGGAUGACGGUACCGGAAGAAUAAGCACCGGCUAACUACGUGCCAGCAGCCGCGGUAAUACGUAGGGUGCAAGCGUUAAUCGGAAUUACUGGGCGUAAAGCGUGCGCAGGCGGUUUGCUAAGACCGAUGUGAAAUCCCCGGGCUCAACCUGGGAACUGCAUUGGUGACUGGCAGGCUAGAGUAUGGCAGAGGGGGGUAGAAUUCCACGUGUAGCAGUGAAAUGCGUAGAGAUGUGGGAGGAAUACCGAUGGCGAAGGCAGCGCUCUUGGGCCAAUACUGACGCUCAUGCACGAAAGCGUGGGGAACCAGACAGGAUUACAUACCCCUGGGUAGUCCCACGCCCCUAAUCGAU
Molecule: ribosomal RNA, 787 nt
Filed under: Burkholderia sp.
Lineage: Bacteria; Pseudomonadati; Pseudomonadota; Betaproteobacteria; Burkholderiales; Burkholderiaceae
Also listed under: 1 other name
Description: bacterial SSU rRNA
Rfam family: Bacterial small subunit ribosomal RNA
Source: RNAcentral